Bos taurus (domestic cattle) is the source of this 2405-nucleotide long non-coding RNA. Lineage: Eukaryota; Metazoa; Chordata; Mammalia; Artiodactyla; Bovidae. The record is from Ensembl.
AGUCGCUAAGGGUCGGACACGACUGAGCGACUUCACUUUCACUUUUCACUUUUCAUGCAUUGGAGAAGGAAAUGGCAACCCACUCCAGUGUUCUUGCCUGGAGAAUCCCAGGGAUGGGGGAGCCUGGUGGGCUGCUGUCUAUGGGGUCACACAGAGUUGGACACGACUGAAGCGACUUAGCAGCAGCAGCAGAACAACCUUAUUCCAGAUAAGGUUACAUUCCGAGGUGCUGGGUUAGGACUUCAGUGUGGAUUUGGAGGGGACUCAGUCAGCCCCUGACAGAGCCUCCCAGUGUUGGGACAGCUCCACCUUGACGAGCACUGCGUCCUACAGAAAGCAGAGUCAGGACCCAGUUCAGGCUGGGUUGGAAUUCUGACUGCAGGGUCCUUGGGCAGGUUGCCCUGAUUUCCAGUCUACAAGAAGGAGAUGAAAUCAACACUCCAGGUAUGGAAUCAAGUCAAAUGCGAUCAGGCCCACCCACUGUCUGGUAAGUCUCAGCAUGGUAUUAGCACCACCCCUCUCUUGACCCUCUUCCCUGUCUCCCCCUCCUCUGGGCUCUGCCUCAUGGGACACGGCUCCGUGCUCACAUGCACUCAUUUCCUAGGACUUGCACAUUCUUGAGACUUACAUCAACCCGUUGGUGUGCAAUGGGGCUGAAUCCAGACUCUUCUGGGAGCAGUUCCAAAAGCUAGUUAUUUGAGAACAGAUUUUUAAAACUCAGUUGAGAGCCUGAUCCUCCCUGUAUCUAUUCCUGAGACUAUCUAUUUCCCUCUUCCACCCAUUAUUGAGAAAUGGGACCCCAGGAACCCAGAAGGUCUCCAACCGAUCAGCAUGGAUUAAGUUCUUUAGAAAGCAUGCUUUGACAUGAUUACUAAGAGCAAUCAUUUGUGUGGAGCUGUCACCUCCUACCACUGUUCCUCUGAGUGAAGGGACUCCUCAGGGGUGAAGAGCUUGCUGAUGAGAGAGCUCUAUGGCUGACUGUUUGCUAGCACUGGGGAAAUAGUUAAGUUUCUUUCUGCAGGACUUCUCAGAGCCUUUAGUAUGCUAAUGAGCAUCAAGACUCUCUGUGAAAGUGAAAAAGUUAGUUGCUCAUUUAUGUCCAACUCUAUCCAUGGACAGAGGAGCCUGGCAGGCUACAAUCCAUGGGAUUCUCCAGGCAAGAAUACUGGAGUGGGUUGCAUUCCCUUCUCCAGGGGAUCUUUCCGACCCAGGGAUCAAACCCAGGUCUCCCACAUUGUAGGCAGAUUCUUUACUGUCUGAGCCACAAGGAAGCUGGUUCAAGACUCUGUAUCAGCUAUAAUUCAGUUCUCCUGCAAGUGAUGGAAACCCCAGAUGACAAUGGCUCCAUUCAAGUUAGAGGAGUUUAUUUCUCUCUCACUGAAUCACAGUGCAGAGGCCAGCAGUUCCAUCAUCAGCCGAAACCUAACACCUUUCUAACUUGUCGCUCUUGCCUUCUCAACACAGGCUUCUACCUCGUAAUCCCAGAGGGCUGCUGAUGCACCAGCCAUUAUGUCAGAAAUACCUUCGCAAAUAUUCAUCGGAAGGACUGAUGCUGAAGCUGAAGUGCCAGUACUUGGGCCACCUGAUGCAAAGAGCCAACCCAUUGGAAGAGACCCUGAUGGGAAAGAUUGAAGGCAGGAAGAAAAGGGGAUGACAGAGGAUGAGAUGGUUGGAUGCCAUCAUCAAUUCAGUGGACAUGAGUUUGAGCAAACUCUGGGACAUAGUGAUGGACAGGGAAGCCUGGUGUGCUGCUGUCCAUGGCGUCGCAAGGAGUCGGACAUGACUGAGCAACUGAACAACUGUCUGCGUACUUCAUUCAUUAGAAUACUGGUGUGGCACACGCCUCCACAUGGACGCAGAGGCAUGCAGGCUAACAUGGUUUAUCCUCCAAAUUGGUCAGCAUCAAGAGAAGAAGAAGCAGUGAGGGGUGCUGGGCAUCCUUGCCCCCUUCCCGGGAAGUGGGCCUCUGCCAGCUCCAGACCAGGGGAAACCAAACUUGGACAAUCCUGGGGAAGGUGGCCUGACAGCAAGGGCCUUAAAAUGUUCCCUCCCUCCCUCCCUCACCAGGUAGCACUGAGCUCCCACCAGGGAUCAGGUACUGGGGCUUCCUUGCUCGGGGGAGGAGUCAUACAGGAAAUAAACACCUGGAGAGGGCUAGAGACCAACAGAGGACAGAUAAAAAGUACAGUGUGUACCCACGGAUGAGAAUUCAGACUUGAACAUCCUGACACGCGGAUGAACCUACAGGACGUGAUGCCGAGGGAAGUAAGCUGGUCAUAGAAGGAUAAACAUCGAAUGGUCCCACUCACAGAGGCCCCUGGAGGAGUCAGCUUCCCAGAGACAGGAAGUGAGAAUGGUGGGGGCCAGGGGCAGAGUCGGGGUGAUGGGAAAUGAAAUAAACCGUG